Molecule: unclassified non-coding RNA, 558 nt
Filed under: Xanthomonas cucurbitae
Lineage: Bacteria; Pseudomonadati; Pseudomonadota; Gammaproteobacteria; Lysobacterales; Lysobacteraceae
Description: partial contains 16S-23S ribosomal RNA intergenic spacer and 23S ribosomal RNA
Rfam family: tRNA (bases 166-239)
Source: RNAcentral
CGGGCGUCCUCACAAAUUACCUGCAUUCAGAGAUUCAUACCGGCACAGGUCGGUAUGCGAAGUCCCUUUUGGGGCCUUAGCUCAGCUGGGAGAGCACCUGCUUUGCAAGCAGGGGGUCGUCGGUUCGAUCCCGACAGGCUCCACCAUAUUGAGUGAAAAGACUUCGGGUCUGUAGCUCAGGUGGUUAGAGCGCACCCCUGAUAAGGGUGAGGUCGGUAGUUCGAGUCUACCCAGACCCACCACUCUGAAUGUAGUGCACACUUAAGAAUUUAUACGGAUCAGCGUUGAGGCUGGUACGUGUUCUUUUAUAACUUGUGACGUAGCGAGCGUUUGAGAUAUCUAUCUAAACGUGUCGUUGAGGCUAAGGCGGGGACUUCGAGUCCCUAAGUAAAUUGAGUCGUAUGUUCGCGUUGGUGGCUUUUUACCCCACACAACACGGCAUGUGACCCUGAGGCAACUUGGGGUUAUAUGGUCAAGCGAAUAAGCGCACACGGUGGAUGCCUAGGCGGUCAGAGGCGAUGAAGGACGUGGUAGCCUGCGAAAAGUGUCGGGGAGCUG